ACKGCUCAGUAACACGUGGACAACCUAACCUAUGGAGGGGGAUAACCCCGGGAAACUGGGGAUAAUACCCCAUAGACUAUGGAUGCUGGAAUGCUCUGUAGUUGAAAGGUCCGCCGCCAUAGGAUGGGUCUGCGGCCGAUCAGGCUGUUGGUGAGGUAACGGCUCACCAAACCUAUAACCGGUACGGGCCGUGGGAGCGGGAGCCCGGAGAUGGGAACUGAGACAAGGUCCCAGGCCCUACGGGGCGCAGCAGUUGCGAAAACUCCGCAAUGCACGAAAGUGUGACGGGGCUACCCCGAGUGCUGUCCGCUGAGGAUAGCUUUUCCCCGGUGUAAGGAGCCGGGGGAAUAAGGAGAGGGCAAGUCUGGUGUCAGCCGCCGCGGUAAUACCAGCUCUCCGAGUGGUAGGGAUGCUUAUUGGGCUUAAAGCGUCCGUAGCUGGCCCUCCAAGUCUCUCGUUAAAUCCAGCGAUUCAAUCGUUGGACUGCGGGAGAUACUGUUAGGCUUGGGGGCGGGAGAAGCCGACGGUAUUUCCGGUGUAGGGGUAAAAUCCUAUAAUCCCGGGAGGACCACCAGUGGCGUAGGCGGUCGGCUAGCACGCGCCCGACGGUGAGGGACGAAAGCUGGGGGAGCAAACCGGAUUAGAUACCCGGAUAGUCCCAGCUGUAAACGAUGCGGGCUAGGUGUCGGAGCGGUCACGAGCCGCUUCAGUGCCGCAGGGAAGCCAUUAAGCCCGCCGCCUGGGGAGUACGGCCGCAAGGCUGAAACUUAAAGGAAUUGGCGGGGGAGCAC
RNAcentral lists this ribosomal RNA (791 nucleotides) under uncultured Sulfolobales archaeon. Its description in RNAcentral is "bacterial SSU rRNA". It matches the Rfam family "Archaeal small subunit ribosomal RNA", at positions 85 to 879 of the family's 1478-position model. Lineage: Archaea; Thermoproteati; Thermoproteota; Thermoprotei; Sulfolobales. The record is from RNAcentral.